UAAAAUCUGUGUUAAACCUUGUAAAAUAAGGACUAUAAAAAUUUUAAAAAGGGCCUAAAAACGAAUAUUUUUAAACUACUUAAAUGCUAAACUGUUUCUUAAACUAAAUUAAUAAGUCUAAACCAUGUAUAGGUUUGUGAAAAGCCCUUAAAAUAAUUAUUUUUGCCCUGCAGACGAACUUAUGAAGCAAAAAUAGAUUUUUUAAAUUUGUUUAUGUUGUAGAAACUAAAUGUAAAAUAACGAUGCUAACUCUGUGACCUAUUUUCAACAUGGCGGGUACUAGGAUUAUCACCGGAGCAACUGUGGAGCAAAGCACAUCGUCUUUACAGUGUGAAAACAUAAUGCUUUCUUAAUUUUAUGAAGAACACGCACUAGAAAUGCUUAGGUACAUCUCAGAAGGAUUGGUGUGCACCAGAAUAUCACAAGAAAUGACCAUAUCUGCAGUUGGUCGUCCUUAGAAUGUACAUUUUUUGUUGAACCACUUCAGACUGUUGUCAGGCUUGGGUUCCUCAAUAUAUCCAGCUCACCGAUUUAGCUCUGGUUGUUUGUUGUAAGGGCUUUGUUACUUGUGUUAUCAUAACACAAACAGUUAAGGACAACUGAGCUUGUAGACAGCUUCAUUAGAAAUUCCUUACCCAGAAUCAAAGAUUUUACAUCCUAGGCCUGGAUGUAAACCUUGACCUGGACAAUCUUACAGACAAUAAUAGAAGAGUCACCUGAAAUUGCACAGGCAAAUUCAUCAGAUUCAGAUCCUGUCCUACCAUCUUCAGGUAGACACAGUAGUGGAUAUCCUGGCAAACCUUUAUUGGACUUAGAGCCACCUUGGGACAAUCCCCCAUAACAAAUGUGCAUCUUAGGCUUGGCAAUCUCAGUCAGUUUUGUAGGAAAGGAGGAUUGGCGCCAUUGAAUUGACAAAUAUUGACAAUUGACAGUUCAGUCACACUAAUUUAUAGUGGCAUGUUGCUUCAAGUUACCACACUUAUUCUAAGAUUGCUGAAUUAUCAUUACUGUAGGAGACCCUGGACAUCUCAACCAGAAGAAGAAACUUGGGGAUCAAUCAGUUAUAAGAUUAAAAUCUGUGGAACACUACCCAUCACUGUUGUGUUCAGUAUAUGGAAAAUAUUACCGUGAUAUUGGAACCUUGGAGAUUCAUAACUUGAUUUCACUCCUGUAAAAAGUAACUGCUUUGUUCUUUUACUGUCCAAUUGAUAAUAUGAAAAUAAAGUACUCCUCCUGUCAUUGUA
Long non-coding RNA from Lingula anatina, 1244 nucleotides. RefSeq lists it as uncharacterized. NCBI's taxonomy places the organism in Eukaryota, Metazoa, Brachiopoda, Lingulata, Lingulida, Lingulidae. The record is from RefSeq and is a predicted model, not a curated record.